GUGUUUACUUUGCAACAUAUAUUAAAAUUAUAAUGAUACAGAGAAGAUUAGCAAGGCCCAUGCACAGAUUACACCAACUCAUGAAACAUCUGUAUUAUGU
RNAcentral lists this small nuclear RNA (100 nucleotides) under Microtus ochrogaster (prairie vole). Lineage: Eukaryota; Metazoa; Chordata; Mammalia; Rodentia; Cricetidae. The record is from RNAcentral.